Molecule: long non-coding RNA, 220 nt
Filed under: Gallus gallus (chicken)
Lineage: Eukaryota; Metazoa; Chordata; Aves; Galliformes; Phasianidae
Source: RNAcentral
AUCUACUCACCAGCAGGCGUGCCAGCAGUGUCUGGGGAGUCAGCAGUGGGCCUGUGGGGAGAAUGAAGUGCUGAGUGAGAUGACGAGACACGCUGUGCUCCCCCACGUGCACCUCCGCUGUCCAUUCUUGGUGCCGUCACGGGUCAACAGAGCUCACUGGGGGAGUUUCUGCUCCUACCUUGAAACAUGGAGCUGAGGAAAUGGGGAUCCAGGUCUUCUA